Salmo salar (Atlantic salmon) is the source of this 85-nucleotide non-coding RNA. NCBI's taxonomy places the organism in Eukaryota, Metazoa, Chordata, Actinopteri, Salmoniformes, Salmonidae. The record is from Rfam.
GUCACUGUGGCUCAGUUGGUAGAGCAUGGUGUUUGCAAUGGUGUUUGCAAUGCCAGGGUUGUGGGUUCAAUUCCCACGGGAGGCC